CACCCCGCACACUGUCAAACCCUAGAAGCUCGAGACCGACUAGGACAUCAGUGAUGAGACGGAUUGCAUUGGAGAACGGCUACACAAAGAUCAUGCUGCCAACACUGGUUCUGGAAUAGCAUGCCCUGUGCUAUCUGCAACCGUGAAGGGGCAAGGCUACGCUUUACCAGCCAAUGUCCAGUAUGUCGAUGUACAAUGGGAGGUACCUGUGGUUCUUCCACUUCAUGGUUGUCUAGCCCAUGAGCUUACUUGCUCGGUGAACUUGACAGGUAAGAUAAAUGCUCACCUAUUAGCCUAGGUGCAGUGGUUUUCAUUAAAAUGGUUUCUCUGGUCAGUUCGAAGACACAUCAACUUCUCGAUAGGCCUUGUAGUGGCAUCAAUGGCUUAGUUGCAUUCUUUGUUUCACGACUAAGGGUAGGGUCGCUUGUUCUUUGCAUGUCACUUUCUUGGCUACUUAAAAUUCUAGCUAUUUUGUAUUUGAGCCAAAACUAUGUUCUUUGUUUGAUGGCUACAUUUAUGAAUAUCUUGUGGAGCAGCACAAGACAUAGUUUUGAAUGAUUUCUCAUUUCUAUUUACAGGAAGAGAACUCAUCUCAAAAUCAUACCCUUUUAAGAAUUGCUUGGAAGCUUAAGCCAUUCUCUUUUAACAAGUUAUCAGCAAACGACUACCAUGAUAAAGGAGUUAUUCGGACUAUGGAGUCAAGUACUGAUGUUGUAUCUGGAUCCUUCUUGUAUGUAUAUGUUGGGGUCUCCUUCUCCCGAAGGUCCUCAAAA
This is a long non-coding RNA of Zea mays, 773 nucleotides long. RefSeq lists it as uncharacterized. The transcript has 3 exons. NCBI's taxonomy places the organism in Eukaryota, Viridiplantae, Streptophyta, Magnoliopsida, Poales, Poaceae. The record is from RefSeq and is a predicted model, not a curated record.